GCGGACAUAGCUCAGUUGGGAGAGCGUCAGACUGAAGUGGGUUCUCAACCCUAGAAAACUUCAUUCAAUCAAUCUGAAGGUCGUGUGUUCAAUCCACACUGGCCGCA
This 107-nucleotide transfer RNA is filed under the name Colletotrichum phormii. Its description in RNAcentral is "tRNA-Phe". It matches the Rfam family "tRNA". From Rfam's summary of the family: Transfer RNA (tRNA) molecules are approximately 80 nucleotides in length. Their secondary structure includes four short double-helical elements and three loops (D, anti-codon, and T loops). The record is from RNAcentral. Lineage: Eukaryota; Fungi; Ascomycota; Sordariomycetes; Glomerellales; Glomerellaceae.